RNAcentral lists this long non-coding RNA (523 nucleotides) under Vigna radiata. RNAcentral's name for it is "long non-coding RNA (VRAD_LNC003153)". The record is from RNAcentral. Lineage: Eukaryota; Viridiplantae; Streptophyta; Magnoliopsida; Fabales; Fabaceae.
GUUAUAGACGUUGACGCCUUGGACAACUGUCGUCUACUUCCUUGAUAGGAAAUGAAACGUCAAUCGGUUCAGCGCAAUAGACGUCGGCUCCCCUGGUGUCCGACGUCUAAUGUGCAUUCAAAAAGUCAGAUUGAAAGUUAUCUUUGACGUCAUAUUAGUUAGAUAACAGAUGUCUAUGUGACUAUAGACGUCGGUUUCUGUAGCAAUCGACGCCCCAUUUCAUGUUAAAUAAUUGCAGUUUCUGAUAUCAUCGUCUUCCUCCUCUCCUUUUUCUCUCUUGCAGCUCCUCUCCUUUUUCUCUCUUGCGACAUUGCAUUAUUGUUUCUGAUAAUAUCAUCGUCAUCCUCCUCUCCUUCUUCCCUCUUGCGAUAUUACAUUCCAGGUGCGUAUUUUUUUAUGGUUACCGUUUAAACUUUGUUCAGUCUUUCAUCGAUUAUCUUCUGGUUCAACUGAUUAAAAUUUAUUUUCUUCAUGUUGUGUUUUAGUUCAGUUUUGUUCCUUUCUUGGGGUAACGUAGUACCAC